RNAcentral lists this ribosomal RNA (492 nucleotides) under uncultured bacterium. RNAcentral's name for it is "partial 16S ribosomal RNA". It matches the Rfam family "Bacterial small subunit ribosomal RNA", at positions 29 to 507 of the family's 1533-position model. The record is from RNAcentral.
AGUGAACGCUGGCGGUAGGCCUAACACAUGCAAGUCGAACGGCAGCACAGUAAGAGCUUGCUCUUGCGGGUGGCGAGUGGCGGACGGGUGAGGAAUACAUCGGAAUCUACUUUUUCGUGGGGGAUAACGUAGGGAAACUUACGCUAAUACCGCAUACGACCUACGGGUGAAAGCAGGGGAUCUUCGGACCUUGCGCGAUUGAAUGAGCCGAUGUCGGAUUAGCUAGUUGGCGGGGUAAAGGCCCACCAAGGCGACGAUCCGUAGCUGGUCUGAGAGGAUGAUCAGCCACACUGGAACUGAGACACGGUCCAGACUCCUACGGGAGGCAGCAGUGGGGAAUAUUGGACAAUGGGCGCAAGCCUGAUCCAGCCAUACCGCGUGGGUGAAGAAGGCCUUCGGGUUGUAAAGCCCUUUUGUUGGGAAAGAAAAGCAGCAGGUUAAUACCCCGCUGUUCUGACGGUGCCCAAAGAAUAAGCACCGGCUAACUUCGUG